Molecule: ribosomal RNA, 246 nt
Filed under: uncultured Burkholderiales bacterium
Lineage: Bacteria; Pseudomonadati; Pseudomonadota; Betaproteobacteria; Burkholderiales
Description: partial 16S ribosomal RNA
Rfam family: Bacterial small subunit ribosomal RNA
Source: RNAcentral
UACGUAGGGUGCGAGCGUUAAUCGGAAUUACUGGGCGUAAAGCGUGCGCAGGCGGCUUUGCAAGACAGAGGUGAAAUCCCCGGGCUCAACCUGGGAACUGCCUUUGUGACUGCAAGGCUAGAGUACGGCAGAGGGGGAUGGAAUUCCGCGUGUAGCGGUGAAAUGCGUAGAUAUGCGGAGGAACACCGAUGGCGAAGGCAAUCCCCUGGGCCUGUACUGACGCUCAUGCACGAAAGCGUGGGGAGC